UACGGAGGGGGCUAGCGUUGUUCGGAAUUACUGGGCGUAAAGCGCACGUAGGCGGAUUGUUAAGUCGGGGGUGAAAUCCCGGGGCUCAACCCCGGAACGGCCCUCGAUACUGGCAGUCUUGAGGACGGUAGAGGCUAGUGGAAUGGCGAGUGUAGAGGUGAAAUUCGUAGAUAUUCCCCGGAACCCCAGUGGCGAAGGCGACUGGCUGGACCGUUACUGCCGCUGAGGUGCGAAAGCGUGGGGAGCAAACAGG
This 253-nucleotide ribosomal RNA is filed under the name uncultured bacterium. Its description in RNAcentral is "partial 16S ribosomal RNA". It matches the Rfam family "Bacterial small subunit ribosomal RNA", at positions 524 to 776 of the family's 1533-position model. The record is from RNAcentral.